RNAcentral lists this ribosomal RNA (2923 nucleotides) under Paenibacillus nuruki. RNAcentral describes it as "23S ribosomal RNA". It matches the Rfam family "Bacterial large subunit ribosomal RNA". The record is from RNAcentral. Lineage: Bacteria; Bacillati; Bacillota; Bacilli; Caryophanales; Paenibacillaceae.
GGUUAAGCUACUAAGAGCACACGGUGGAUGCCUAGGCGCUAGGAGCCGAUGAAGGACGUGGCGAACAACGAUAAAGCCUCGGGGAGCUGUAAGCAAGCUGUGAUCCGGGGAUGUCCGAAUGGGGAAACCUAACUGGAUUCAUCUCCAGUUACUCACACCUGAAUACAUAGGGUGUGCAGAGGCAGACGAGGGGAACUGAAACAUCUAAGUACCCUCAGGAAAAGAAAACAAGAGUGAUUCCGUCAGUAGCGGCGAGCGAACGCGGAACAGCCCAAACCAAGAAGCUUGCUUCUUGGGGUUGUGGGACGUCUCUUUGGAGUUACAAAGGAAUGAGGUAGGCGAAGAGGUCUGGAAAGGCCCGCAAGACAAGGUGAAAGCCCUGUAGCUUAAAUCUCAUUCUCUCCGAGACGGAUCCCGAGUAGUGCGGGGCACGUGAAACCCCGUAUGAAUCUGCCAGGACCAUCUGGUAAGGCUAAAUACUCCCUAGCGACCGAUAGUGAAGCAGUACCGUGAGGGAAAGGUGAAAAGGACCCCGGAAGGGGAGUGAAAUAGAACCUGAAACCGUGUGCUUACAAAAAGUCAGAGCCCUAUUAAUGGGUGAUGGCGUGCCUUUUGUAGAAUGAACCGGCGAGUUACGUUCCCGUGCAAGGUUAAGGUGAAAAGCCGGAGCCGCAGCGAAAGCGAGUCUGAAUAGGGCGAUUAAGUACGUGGACGUAGACCCGAAACCAGGUGAUCUACCCCUGUCCAGGGUGAAGGUACGGUAACACGUACUGGAGGCCCGAACCCACGCACGUUGAAAAGUGCGGGGAUGAGGUGGGGGUAGCGGAGAAAUUCCAAUCGAACCUGGAGAUAGCUGGUUCUCCCCGAAAUAGCUUUAGGGCUAGCCUCGGAAGUUGAGUCGUGGAGGUAGAGCACUGAUUGGAUGCGGGGCCCGCAAGGGUUACCAAGUUCAGUCAAACUCCGAAUGCCACAGACUUUAUUCCGGGAGUCAGACAGUGAGUGCUAAGAUCCAUUGUCGAAAGGGAAACAGCCCAGACCAUCAGCUAAGGUCCCCAAGUGUGUGUUAAGUGGGAAAGGAUGUGAAGUUGCACAGACAACCAGGAUGUUGGCUUAGAAGCAGCCACCAUUGAAAGAGUGCGUAAUAGCUCACUGGUCGAGUGACUUUGCGCCGAAAAUGUAACGGGGCUAAACACACCACCGAAGCUAUGGCUUGAUACUUUGUAUCAGGGGUAGGGGAGCGUUGAAUGAAGAUUGAAGGUGUACCGCAAGGAGCGCUGGACCUCAUUCAAGUGAGAAUGCCGGUAUGAGUAACGAAAAGAUCAGUGAGAAUCUGAUCCGCCGAAAACCCAAGGAUUCCUGAGGAAGGCUCGUCCUCUCAGGGUAAGUCGGGACCUAAGGCGAGGCCGAAAGGCGUAGUCGACGGACAACAGGUUGAAAUUCCUGUACCACCGAAAGCCGUUAUGAGCAAUGGGAUGACGCAGGAGGAUAGUGACGCGGACUGAUGGAUGUCCGUUCAAGCAGUGAGGCUGGUAUGUAGGCAAAUCCGCAUACCGCAAGGCCAGGCUGUGAUGAGGAGCGAAAAUUGUAGUAGCGAAGGUCAUGAUUUCACACUGCCAAGAAAAGUCUCUAGCCAGGAAGCAGGUGCCCGUACCGUAAACCGACACAGGUGGGUGAGAAGAGAAUUCUAAGGCGCGCGGAAGAACUCUCGUUAAGGAACUCGGCAAAAUGACCCCGUAACUUCGGGAGAAGGGGUGCCCCGGUAGUGUGAAUAGCACGAGGGGGCCGCAGUGAAAAGGCCCAAGCGACUGUUUAGCAAAAACACAGGUCUGUGCGAAGCCGCAAGGCGAAGUAUACGGGCUGACGCCUGCCCGGUGCUGGAAGGUUAAGGGGAGUGGUUAGCGCAAGCGAAGCUAUGAACCGAAGCCCCAGUAAACGGCGGCCGUAACUAUAACGGUCCUAAGGUAGCGAAAUUCCUUGUCAGGUAAAUUCUGACCCGCACGAAUGGCGUAACGAUUUGGGCGCUGUCUCAACGAGAGAUCCGGUGAAAUUUUAAUACCUGUGAAGAUGCAGGUUACCCGCGACAAGACGGAAAGACCCCAUGGAGCUUUACUGCAACUUGAUAUUGAACUGGGGUGCGAUUUGUACAGGAUAGGUGGGAGCCGUAGAAACCGGAGCGCAAGCUUCGGUUGAGGCGCCGUUGGGAUACCACCCUGAUCGCAUUUGAGUUCUAACCUCGUACCGUGAUCCGGUACAGGGACCGUGUCAGGUGGGCAGUUUGACUGGGGCGGUCGCCUCCUAAAGUGUAACGGAGGCGCCCUAAGGUUCCCUCAGAAUGGUUGGAAAUCAUUCGAAGAGUGUAAAGGCAUAAGGGAGCUUGACUGCGAGACAGACACGUCGAGCAGGGACGAAAGUCGGGCUUAGUGAUCCGGUGGUACCGCAUGGAAGGGCCAUCGCUCAACGGAUAAAAGCUACCCUGGGGAUAACAGGCUUAUCUCCCCCAAGAGUCCACAUCGACGGGGAGGUUUGGCACCUCGAUGUCGGCUCAUCGCAUCCUGGGGCUGAAGUAGGUCCCAAGGGUUGGGCUGUUCGCCCAUUAAAGCGGUACGCGAGCUGGGUUCAGAACGUCGUGAGACAGUUCGGUCCCUAUCUGUCGUGGGCGUAGGAAAUUUGAGAGGAGCUGUCCUUAGUACGAGAGGACCGGGAUGGACGCACCGCUGGUGUACCAGUUGUUCCGCCAGGAGCAUCGCUGGGUAGCUACGUGCGGAAGGGAUAAGCGCUGAAAGCAUCUAAGCGUGAAGCCCCCCUCAAGAUGAGAUUUCCCAGUAUGUAAGACCCCUUGUAGACGACGAGGUUGAUAGGUUGGGGGUGGAAGUGCCGCAAGGCAUGGAGCUGACCAAUACUAAUCGGUCGAGGGCUUAUCCAA